RNAcentral lists this ribosomal RNA (460 nucleotides) under uncultured bacterium. Its description in RNAcentral is "partial 16S ribosomal RNA". It matches the Rfam family "Bacterial small subunit ribosomal RNA", at positions 338 to 795 of the family's 1533-position model. The record is from RNAcentral.
CCUACGGGCGACAGCAGUGAGGAAUAUUGGUCAAUGGGCGUAAGCCUGAACCAGCCAAGUCGCGUGAGGGAUGAAGGUUCUAUGGAUCGUAAACCUCUUUUAUAAGGGGAUAAAGUGUGGGACGUGUCCUAUUUUGUAUGUACCGUAUGAAUAAGGAUCGGCUAACUCCGUGCCAGCAGCCGCGGUAAUACGGAGGAUCCGAGCGUUAUCCGGAUUUAUUGGGUUUAAAGGGUGCGUAGGCGGCCUUUUAAGUCAGCGGUGAAAGUCUGUGGCUCAACCAUGGAAUUGCCGUUGAAACUGGGGGGCUUGAGUAUGUUUGAGGCAGGCGGAAUGCGUGGUGUAGCGGUGAAAUGCUUAGAUAUCACGCAGAACCCCGAUUGCGAAGGCAGCCUGCCAAGCCAUGACUGACGCUGAUGCACGAAAGCGUGGGGAUCAAACAGGAUUAGAUACCCCUGUAGUC